RNAcentral lists this ribosomal RNA (427 nucleotides) under Actinomycetes bacterium. Its description in RNAcentral is "Actinobacteria bacterium partial 16S ribosomal RNA". It matches the Rfam family "Bacterial small subunit ribosomal RNA", at positions 355 to 774 of the family's 1533-position model. The record is from RNAcentral. Lineage: Bacteria; Bacillati; Actinomycetota; Actinomycetes.
UAGGGAAUCUUCCGCAAUGGGCGAAAGCCUGACGGAGCAACGCCGCGUGAGUGAUGAAGGUCUUCGGAUCGUAAAACUCUGUUAUUAGGGAAGAACAAAUGUGUAAGUAACUAUGCACGUCUUGACGGUACCUAAUCAGAAAGCCACGGCUAACUACGUGCCAGCAGCCGCGGUAAUACGUAGGUGGCAAGCGUUAUCCGGAAUUAUUGGGCAUAAAGCGCGCGUAGGCGGUUUUUUAAGUCUGAUGUGAAAGCCCACGGCUCAACCGUGGAGGGUCAUUGGAAACUGGAAAACUUGAGUGCAGAAGAGGAAAGUGGAAUUCCAUGUGUAGCGGUGAAAUGAGCAGAGAUAUGGAGGAACACCAGUGGCGAAGGCGACUUUCUGGUCUGUAACUGACGCUGAUGUGCGAAAGCGUGGGGAUCAAACA